This 519-nucleotide ribosomal RNA is filed under the name uncultured eukaryote. RNAcentral's name for it is "SSU rRNA". It matches the Rfam family "Eukaryotic small subunit ribosomal RNA", at positions 1161 to 1699 of the family's 1831-position model. The record is from RNAcentral.
AGGGCACCACCAGGAGUGGAGCCUGCGGCUUAAUUUGACUCAACACGGGGAAACUUACCCGGCCUGGACACUGGAAGGAUUGACAGAUUGAGAGCUCUUUCUUGAUUCAGUGGGUGGUGGUGCAUGGCCGCUCUUAGUUGGUGGAGCGAUUUGUCUGGUUAAUUCCGAUAACGAACGAGACUCUAGCCUAUUAAAUAGGCUCUCGGCUUUUAAACGCCGGGAGGACUUCUUAGAGGGACAGGUGGCGGUUCAGCCGCACGAAAGAGAGCAAUAGCAGGUCUGUGAUGCCCUUUGUUGUCCGGGGCCGCACGCGCGCUACACUGAAGAGAUCAGCGUGCUUUACGUUCCUGCUCCGACCGGAGUGGGGAACCCAGUGAACCUUCUUCGUGAUUGGGAUAGAAGAUUGUAAUUAUUCUUCUUGAACGAGGAAUUCCCAGUAAAUGCGAGUCAUAAGCUCGCGUUGAUUACGUCCCUGCCCUUUGUACACACCGCCCGUCGCUACUACCGAUUGAACGAUUU